GACGAACGCUGGCGGCGUGCCUAAUACAUGCAAGUAGAACGCUGAAGAGAGGAGCUUACUCUUCUUGGAUGAGUUGCGAACGGGUGAGUAACGCGUAGGUAACCUGCCUUGUAGCGGGGGAUAACUAUUGGAAACGAUAGCUAAUACCGCAUAACAAUGGAUGACACAUGUCAUUUAUUUGAAAGGGGCAAUUGCUCCACUACAAGAUGGACCUGCGUUGUAUUAGCUAGUAGGUGAGGUAAUGGCUCACCUAGGCGACGAUACAUAGCCGACCUGAGAGGGUGAUCGGCCAGACUGGGACUGAGACACGGCCCAGACUCCUACGGGAGGCAGCAGUAGGGAAUCUUCGGCAAUGGGGGCAACCCUGACCGAGCAACGCCGCGUGAGUGAAGAAGGGUUUCGGAUCGGAAAGCUCUGUUGUAAGUCAAGAACGGGUGUGAGAGUGGAAAGUUCACACUGUGACGGUAGCUUACCAGAAAGGGACGGCUAACUACGUG
RNAcentral lists this ribosomal RNA (497 nucleotides) under uncultured bacterium. RNAcentral's name for it is "partial 16S ribosomal RNA". It matches the Rfam family "Bacterial small subunit ribosomal RNA", at positions 28 to 507 of the family's 1533-position model. The record is from RNAcentral.